GUGUUUGCUUCAGCAGCACAUCUCCUAAAGCUAGAAUGAAACAGAGAAGCAUGGGCCCUGGGCAAGAAUGACAUGCAAAUUCGUGAAGCAUUCUAUACUAAG
This is a small nuclear RNA of Ailuropoda melanoleuca (giant panda), 102 nucleotides long. The record is from Ensembl. NCBI's taxonomy places the organism in Eukaryota, Metazoa, Chordata, Mammalia, Carnivora, Ursidae.